CACGUAGGAGACAAGCGUUAUCCGGAUUUACUGGGUGUAAAGCGCGUGCAGGCGGACCUGUAAGUUGGAUGUGAAAGCUCCUGGCUUAACUGGGAGAGGUCGUUCAAGACUGCAGGUCUCGAGGACAGCAGAGGGGAGUGGAAUUCCGAGUGUAGCGGUAAAAUGCAUAGAUAUUCGGAAGAACACCAGUGGCGAAGGCGGCUCUCUGGGCUGAUCCUGACGCUCAGACGCGAAAGCUAGGGUAGCAAACGGG
RNAcentral lists this ribosomal RNA (253 nucleotides) under uncultured bacterium. RNAcentral's name for it is "partial 16S ribosomal RNA". It matches the Rfam family "Bacterial small subunit ribosomal RNA", at positions 524 to 776 of the family's 1533-position model. The record is from RNAcentral.